Molecule: unclassified non-coding RNA, 1635 nt
Filed under: Hevea brasiliensis (rubber tree)
Lineage: Eukaryota; Viridiplantae; Streptophyta; Magnoliopsida; Malpighiales; Euphorbiaceae
Source: RNAcentral
AAGAGUCCCACGCAAGGCAACAAGAACCACACGGCAACAUCAAUCCAUGCGCAAUAUACAAGCCACAAAGCCAACAACCAUGCAUAACAAACAACCAUACACAAUAACAAGCUCAAAGAAAGGUAGGAGAGAGGAUAUACGAAGUAGAGGGGGCUACUUCUUUUAUUGCUUUACACACCCAAGCUUUACAAUUGCCAUAAAGAGAAAAACACUCUCAAGUUCUUUCUCCCGCAACUCACUCUCUCAAGCUCACUCUCUAUACACUCUCUACCGAAAAUACAAAGGGAACAACUCCCUUAUAUACAUGCACGGCUGUCCCUUUGAGCCCAACAAUUGGCAGCAGCCAAUCACCUCAAUUCACAUAAAAUAAGCUAGGAAAUAGAUGUGUCAUCAUGGGUGGACAUGGGGCAGCUUGGGGUCAUGCCACUUGGCCCACUUGGCCACUUGCCGCUGCAUUUGGAAGGGAAAUUGGAGGGAAACUUGGCGCCAUUUGUUGGUCCCAAUUGCCAAGUGGGCUGGCCACUUUUCACGCACACAUGGGCUGGUCACCACCCAAUGCGCCCCACAUGGGCUGAUUGCACAAUGUCUCACGCUGCAUGGUUUUCUUGGCCAUUUACUUCACGUUGUGCAUGGCCCAUGCACGUAUUGAAGCUUGUCCCAACUUGCCGCCAACACUUACUCCCCACUAAGGAGCUAAGUCACCAUGGUGCGCUCCACUUGUGCACUUCUAAUGCACAUGCAGCUUCAACACAUCCCACGGCUCCACAUGUGUCCCAUUAAUUUAAUCCUCAUGUCCAAGUGGCUGCUCCACUUUGGUGUAGCACAUGCCUUGCAUUAUCUCCAUUUUAUUUCCACGUCCCAUGCAUUUAUCCAUGCAUGAAAGUGGACAUCUCCACUUUGCCGCUCCACAUGGCUCUCAUGUGAGGUCCAUAAUGCGCCUCACAAUUAGGCCAUUUUAGUUUCACGCACACAAUGUGUUGGUUCCACUUAGGUGCGCCACAUGUAUUCCACUAAACCCAUGUGAGUGUUCAUCUCCACUAUCUCACAUCCCAUGUGCCGCCCCACCAAAGCACCAUGCACCGCCCCACCAAAGCACCAUGCAAAAGCCACAUCUUCACGUGAACCACAAUUUCUCAUGCAUGUUCCUCACGUAAGCCAAGCCAUCCACAUGCACAACCAUGCCAUGCCAUGCGCCACAUGUCCCACUAAACCCAAGGGAUCACCAUAGUGCGCCACUAGUGCACCAAAUGUAAUUGCAUGUGAUCUUCCACUCACACACAAUAUUCACUCGCAAGGCUCCAUGUGCCGCUCCACUAAUGCCCAUGUGAUGACCAUAGAGCGCCACAUUGGUGUGUCAACAUGCAAACCCUCACGUGAACCAAAUCCCAUGCAACGUCCACGUAGCUUUCCCAUGCAACCAUCAUGUAGCUCACGUCCAAUUUAAGGACUUCUCAUGCAAGUGAUCCACGUCCACUUAAAGGAACCCCCUAUGCAAAGCAAUUCUCUCAAGGCUUCACGUCUUCCCUUGCCUUAGCAAUAUUCAUGCAUACCACUGAACCUCAAAUGGGCAGCCAACAACACCAAAAUAAAUUGGACUUCUCGGGGCAAAAUAAAAUGGGGUGACACUCUCCCCCA